This 251-nucleotide ribosomal RNA is filed under the name uncultured Gardnerella sp. Its description in RNAcentral is "partial 16S ribosomal RNA". It matches the Rfam family "Bacterial small subunit ribosomal RNA", at positions 103 to 355 of the family's 1533-position model. The record is from RNAcentral. Lineage: Bacteria; Bacillati; Actinomycetota; Actinomycetes; Bifidobacteriales; Bifidobacteriaceae.
CGGGUGAGUAAUGCGUGACCAACCUGCCCCAUGCUCCAGAAUAGCUCUUGGAAACGGGUGGUAAUGCUGGAUGCUCCAACUUGACGCAUGUCUUGUUGGGAAAGUGUUUAGUGGCAUGGGAUGGGGUCGCGUCCUAUCAGCUUGUAGGCGGGGUAAUGGCCCACCUAGGCUUCGACGGGUAGCCGGCCUGAGAGGGCGGACGGCCACAUUGGGAUGAGAUACGGCCCAGACUCCUACGGGAGGCAGCAGCC